This 301-nucleotide ribosomal RNA is filed under the name uncultured bacterium. RNAcentral describes it as "partial 16S ribosomal RNA". It matches the Rfam family "Bacterial small subunit ribosomal RNA", at positions 509 to 809 of the family's 1533-position model. The record is from RNAcentral.
CAGCCGCCACGGUAAUACGUAGGUGGCAAGCGUUGUCCGGAAUUAUUGGGCGUAAAGGGCUCGCAGGCGGUUUCUUAAGUCUGAUGUGAAAGCCCCCGCCUCAACCGGGGAGGGUCAUUGGAAACUGGGAAACUUGAGUGCAGAAGAGGAGAGUGGAAUUCCACGUGUAGCGGUGAAAUGCGUAGAGAUGUGGAGGAACACCAGUGGCGAAGGCGACUCUCUGGUCUGUAACUGACGCUGAGGAGCGAAAGCGUGGGGAGCGAACAGGAUUAGAUACCCCAGUAGUCCCUGUCUCUUAUAA